AGUGAACGCUGGCGGUAGGCCUAACACAUGCAAGUCGAACGGCAGCACAGUAAGCGCUUGCUCUUACGGGUGGCGAGUGGCGGACGGGUGAGGAAUACAUCGGAAUCUACUUUUUCGUGGGGGAUAACGUAGGGAAACUUACGCUAAUACCGCAUACGACCUACGGGUGAAAGCAGGGGAUCUUCGGACCUUGCGCGACUGAAUUAGCCGAUGUCGGAUUAGCUAGUUGGCGGGGUAAAGGCCCACCAAGGCGACGAUCCGUAGCUGGUCUGAGAGGAUGAUCAGCCACACUGGAACUGAGACACGGUCCAGACUCCUACGGGAGGCAGCAGUGGGGAAUAUUGGACAAAGGGCGCAAGCCUGAUCCAGCCAUACCGCGUGAGUGAAGAAGGCCUUCGGAUUGUAAAGCCCUUUUGUUGGGAAAGAAAAGCAGCAGGUUAAUACCCCGCUGUUCUGACGGUACCCAAAGAAUAAGCACCGGCUAACUUCGUG
This 492-nucleotide ribosomal RNA is filed under the name uncultured bacterium. Its description in RNAcentral is "partial 16S ribosomal RNA". It matches the Rfam family "Bacterial small subunit ribosomal RNA", at positions 29 to 507 of the family's 1533-position model. The record is from RNAcentral.